Molecule: ribosomal RNA, 650 nt
Filed under: Astiphromma sp. BF000718
Lineage: Eukaryota; Metazoa; Arthropoda; Insecta; Hymenoptera; Ichneumonidae
Description: eukaryotic LSU rRNA
Rfam family: Eukaryotic large subunit ribosomal RNA
Source: RNAcentral
AACCCAAAAGAUCGAAUGGGGAGAUUCAUCGUCAGCGUGAUAUGGCGCUUGUGCGGUUCGCGAUGCCGGGGACCUCGGUCUCAAGGCACGCGUCCGCAUGGUUUUUUGCCUGUCAUCGUCGGCGUGCACUUCUCCCCUAGUAGGACGUCGCGACCCGUUGGGUGUCGGUCUACGGCCCGGGUGGUAGCCUGUCAUGUGUUACGUGCUUGCGCGUCAUGUGGCAGACCCCCGGUUGUCUGACCAGCUGCUCGGCGGUACUCGCACGGUAUCGAGCCGCAAAUUGAACUGCGUCCGGCCCGUCGCAAGCGAGGUCAGUGUUUACCCGGAUGUACGGACCUAGCGCCGUCACCGGGCCUGACCAGCUGUUGGUUGAUGGUGCUCUGGGACUGGCUCUUAUGAUUACCGGUCAGCGACGCUACUGCUUUGGGUACUUUCAGGACCCGUCUUGAAACACGGACCAAGGAGUCUAACAUGUGCGCGAGUCAUUGGGACGAUGUAAAGCCUAAAGGCGCAAUGAAAGUGAAGGUCGGCCUUGCGCCGACCGAGGGAGGAUGGGCCGCGUCACGAUGCGGUCCCGCACUCCCGGGGCGUCUCGUUCUCAUUGCGAGAAGAGGCGCACCCAGAGCGUACACGUUGGGACCCGAAAGAUG